Molecule: ribosomal RNA, 493 nt
Filed under: uncultured bacterium
Lineage: Bacteria
Description: bacterial SSU rRNA
Rfam family: Bacterial small subunit ribosomal RNA
Source: RNAcentral
AUGAACGCUAGCGACAGGCCUAACACAUGCAAGUCAGGGGCAGCACAAGGAGCAAUCUGAGGUGGCGACCGGCGCACGGGUGAGUAACACGUAUGCAACCUGCCUGUAAGCGGGGAAUAACCCGUUGAAAGACGGACUAAUACCGCAUAAUACUAAAUUACUGCAUGGUAAUUUAUUUAAACAUUUAUGGCUUACAGAUGGGCAUGCGCAUGAUUAGCUAGUUGGAGAGGUAACGGCUCCCCAAGGCAACGAUCAUUAGGGGUUCUGAGAGGAAGGUCCCCACACUGGUACUGAGACACGGACCAGACUCCUACGGGAGGCAGCAGUGAGGAAUAUUGGUCAAUGGACGAGAGUCUGAACCAGCCAAGUCGCGUGCAGGAAGAAUGUCCUAAUGGAUUGUAAACUGCUUUUGCAGGGGAAUAAAGUGCAUCACGUGUGAUGUUUUGUAUGUACUCUGCGAAUAAGGAUCGGCUAACUCCGUGCCAGCAGCCGC